GAUGAACGCUGGCGGCGUGCCUAAUACAUGCAAGUCGAGCGAACAGAUAAGGAGCUUGCUCCUUUGACGUUAGCGGCGGACGGGUGAGUAACACGUGGGUAACCUACCUAUAAGACUGGGAUAACUUCGGGAAACCGGAGCUAAUACCGGAUAACAUUUGGAACCGCAUGGUUCUAAAGUGAAAGAUGGUUUUGCUAUCACUUAUAGAUGGACCCGCGCCGUAUUAGCUAGUUGAUAAGGUAACGGCUUACCAAGGCAACGAUACGUAGCCGACCUGAGAGGGUGAUCGGCCACACUGGAACUGAGACACGGUCCAGACUCCUACGGGAGGCAGCAGUAGGGAAUCUUCCGCAAUGGGCGAAAGCCUGACGGAGCAACGCCGCGUGAGUGAUGAAGGGUUUCGGCUCGUAAAACUCUGUUAUUAGGGAAGAACAAACGUGUAAGUAACUGUGCACGUCUUGACGGUACCUAAUCAGAAAGCCACGGCUAACUACGUG
RNAcentral lists this ribosomal RNA (497 nucleotides) under uncultured bacterium. Its description in RNAcentral is "partial 16S ribosomal RNA". It matches the Rfam family "Bacterial small subunit ribosomal RNA", at positions 28 to 507 of the family's 1533-position model. The record is from RNAcentral.